This is a long non-coding RNA of Meriones unguiculatus (Mongolian gerbil), 3466 nucleotides long. RefSeq lists it as uncharacterized. The record is from RefSeq and is a predicted model, not a curated record. NCBI's taxonomy places the organism in Eukaryota, Metazoa, Chordata, Mammalia, Rodentia, Muridae. The transcript is spliced from 3 exons.
GUUGAGUCCAGAGGACCUGUAAAUAUGAGGGAUAGAUGAGGUGACAAAAACAAAGUCCCUGUCCUUGAGGAACUUCCAGUCCUGCAGCUGAGACAGAAAUGAAGGUGAAUGCUAAGCAAGCUAACAUUGAACAGGCAUUGUGACAGACAACAGCACUGGAACCUCUGUGGGGAAGGGCAGCCUUCUCCACCUGGAGGAGCAAAGGAGGUGGACUUUGAAUCUGGCUUAGAGAAGGAAUAGAAAGUUAUUAAUUCAGAAAUGAUAGAAUUGGAGAGCACCCCCCAGCAAGAGAGAACGUGGAAAGAGGAAACGUUCCCAGAACACUGAGGACAGACGAUCAAGUUCUCAUUCCCUCUGGUGUCUUGGGCACUAACUACAACCAGAAGAUGGCCGUCUUUGUUCACUAGGUUGGAGAUUACAGCUUGCUCUACAGUGAAUCCCCAGCAUCUGGUGAGUCAUUUGUCAUAUGAAGUCACUUGGCCACAUUCCUAUUGUGUUCACCUACUGUAUUAAUGAGUACAAGGUAAGUUCUCACGGACAGCUAUUAAAACGAUCUAAAGGGAAACUGGAAAAAGAAAAAAUGUGAAACAACACAAAAAAAAACUCUUUUACAAGAUCUGACUCAUGACAUUGUCUUAGUCAUUCUUGUGUGCAAGAAAAGCUAGACAAGAGACGGGAGGCGACUGGCAAAGUCUGAGAACUUGGCGGGCGACCUAGGCUCUAGUUGUGCAAGUAAUCAAGGAGCACCUUGCUCUUUCAGCCUAUAGCCUGUACAAGUCACCCAGCAUAAGCUCUGUGGUCCUGCACGGAGCUUGCUGAGCCAUGGUUUCCAACCCCAGCCAGGUGACUGCAGGCAUAACUUGAAAAAGAGAGCACCAGGAAAUGGCAUGGGUCCUCAUCCUGGGCUCCCAUCUUCGAUCACACUCAAUGGAGAGAAAUUUAAAUCAAUCCCACUGAAAUCAGGGACAGGGCAAGGCUGCCCACUCUCUCCAUAUCUCUUCAACAUAGUACUGGAAGUCCUAGCUAAAGCAGUAAGACAACUAAAGGAGAUCAAGGGGAUACGAAUCAGAAAGGAAGAGGUCAAAGUUUCACUAUUUGCAAAUGAUAUGAUAUGAGCGACCCCAAAAAUUCAACCAGAGAACUCCUUCAGCUGAUAAACACCUUCAGCAAAAUGGCUGGAAACAAAAUCAACUAAAAAAUAAUCAGAAGCCCUCCUGUAUAUCAAAGACAAAAGGGCCAAGAAAGAAAUCAGGGAAACAACACCCUUCACAAUAGCCACUAAUAACAUAAAGUACCUUGGGGUGACUCUAACCAAGCAAGUGAAAGACCUGUUUGAAAAAAAAAACUUUAAGUCUCUGAAGAAAGAAAUUGAAGAAGAUAUCAGAAGAUGGAAAGAUCUCCCGUGUUCAUGGAUCGGUAGGAUUAACAUUGUGGGGAUUAACGCAGAUCUCAAACCUCAUCAUGAAAGCUCCUCUGUGAAGUGAACAGUGGGUAACGCAGAAACUCACAGCUGGUCGAAGGGCAGAGAAAUCUACAAGCUGACACUGCAGAAUGGUGAUGAUACAGAACAUUUCCAGUCAGGAGGGGAUUCAGACCUCCACAUUGCUGAGGAAGUGAGUGAAGAACAAGGAAACUGAAACAAGCAGAGCCUGUUUUUUCAUGGUUUGUUACAGCAAGGGAGCCCACCACCAUCAUGUGCAUUCCUGCAGAGGCUCAAAAGCACAGCUGAUUCUGCAGCCCCAGUUACACAGACGCAGGGAUUCUCAACUCACACCAGCAAAUGGCACUCAAAAGAGCCUUCAAAGCGGCUCUCAAAACUUUCCUCUAGAACUUCCCAAGCCAGGCCUCCAUCGUCUGCAUUGCCUUCCACACUCUUAUCUUCCAAGGUUCUACAGAACAGCUCACGGGGCUCUCGACACUCAAAGGCUUUUCUAGCCCAAAGUUCCAAAGUUCUCCACAGCCCUCUCAAAAACAACAUGGUCAGGUCUGCACGGCAACACCCUACUAUCCUGCUACCAAUUUGUCCUAGUUAGGGUUUCCGUUGCUGUAAUGAAACACCGUGACCAAAAGAAAGUUGGGGAGAAAAGGGUUUAUUUGGCCUACACUUCCAGAUCGUAGUUGAUCACUGAAGGAAACCAGGACAGAAACUCAAGCAGGGCAGAUCUCCAGCAGGGCAGGGACCUGGAGGCAGGAGCUGAUGCAGAGGCCAUGAAGGGUGAGGGGUGCUGCUCACUGGCUUGCUCCCCAUGACUUGCUCAGCCUGCUUUCUUAUAGAACCCAGGACCACCAGCCCAGGGAUGACACACAGUGGGCUUGACUCUACCCUAUCAAUCAACAACUAAGAAAAUGCCCUACAGCUUACCUAUAACUCCAUCUUAUGGAGGAAUUUCUCAGUUGAGGUUUCCUCCUUUCCAGUGACUCUAGCGUGUAUCAAGUUGAUGUCAUAAAUUCAGCCAAUUUGCACAUUAUAAAAGUAAAUAUAGAAAAUAUAACAUUAUCUACAAAAAUUUGGUGGUGAAAAAAGGGAAGGAAAGAAAGGUAAGAGGAAAUAGAAUUUGGAGAGAGAUUAAAAUGCUAUUUACUCCCUGUGCAGGGACAAAAGAGGGCUCACUUUAUUUAGAAAGUAGAAAAUAGUAAAUAUUCCUAAACUUUACCAGAUGAAGGAAAUGUACAAGCAAAGCCUUUACAUACUUUUUUGUUUGUUUGUUUGUUAUAUUAUGUUUUGUUUUUAGAGACAGCAUUUCUGUGUAGAUCUGGCUGUCCUGGAACUCGCUCUGUAGACCAGGCUGGUCUUGAACUUGAAGAGAUCCUCCUUCCUCUGCCUUCUGAGUUCUGGGACUAUAGGCAUGUGCCACCACACCAAUUGCGGGAUUUUUAUUUUUUGAGAGCAAAGGAAUAAAACAGCUUUAUGGAGACACAAGGCCACUCACAGUUCCAUAAAAGAGUUUAUCAUCAAAAGCAGUGAGAGCAGAAACUCAAACAGGGCAGGAACCUGAAAACAGGAGCUGAUGCACACAGGCCAUGGAGGGGUGCUGCUAACUGGCUUGCUCCUUGUGAUUUGCUCAGCCAGUUUUCUUAUAAAUCCUAGGACCACCAGCCCAUCCCAUGGAUGGGACCGCUCACAAUGCCCUGGAUCCUCCCCUAUCACUCACUAAUUAAGAAAAUGACGUACAGGUUUGCCUAUAGCCUGAUCUUACAGAGGCAUUCUCUUAACUGAAGCUCCCUCCUCUGAGAUGACUUUAGUGUGUGUCCAGUUAACAUAAAACUAGCCAACACACUUGGCUAGCCUACUGCAGGAAUGAGAUGAGCUUAGUUGAGAAAUCCCAGCCAAGUCUAUCCUCCAUAAUCCACCUUACAACCAACUAUUCAGCUGACCAUAGUAUGAGAACAUCUACCCAGAUCUGUAGCAUGGCCUUAUCAACUCAUUCCUUCAUGAUAAACAAUAAAUGAUGGUUUAAGUUUCUAA